GACGAACGCUGGCGGCGUGCUUAACACAUGCAAGUCGAACGGAAAGGCCCUGCUUCUGUGGGGUGCUCGAGUGGCGAACGGGUGAGUAACACGUGAGUAACCUGCCCUCGACUUUGGGAUAACUUCAGGUAACUGGGGUUAAUACCGGAUAGGAGCUCCUGCUGCAUGGUGGGGGUUGGAAUCUUCGGCGGUUGGGGAUGGACUCGCGGCUUAUCAGCAUGUUGGUGGGGUAGUGGCUUACCAAGGCUUUGACGGGUAGCCGGCCUUGGAAGGUGAACGGGGACAAGGGGACUGAGAGAGGGAGCAGAGGGCAACGGGGGACAGCAGGGGGAAAUAUGACGCAGUGGGCGGGAGCGUAAGAAGACAGCGCCGGGGGCGGAAAGUCGGCCUUGGGGGUAUGAACGGAUUAAAGCUAUGACGAAGCGUCAGUGACGGUAAUGGGUGAAGAAGCACCGGCUAACUACGUG
This 467-nucleotide ribosomal RNA is filed under the name uncultured bacterium. Its description in RNAcentral is "partial 16S ribosomal RNA". It matches the Rfam family "Bacterial small subunit ribosomal RNA", at positions 28 to 507 of the family's 1533-position model. The record is from RNAcentral.